Molecule: ribosomal RNA, 375 nt
Filed under: uncultured bacterium
Lineage: Bacteria
Description: bacterial SSU rRNA
Rfam family: Bacterial small subunit ribosomal RNA
Source: RNAcentral
GACGAACGCUGGCGGCGUGCUUAACACAUGCAAGUCGAACGAGAAAGCCCCUUCGGGGGUGAGUACAGUGGCGAACGGGUGAGUAACACGUGGGCAACCUGCCCUAGGGAGCGGGACAACCCGAGGAAACUCGGGCUAAUACCGCAUGAUUCGCAGAGUCAUAAAGGCUCUGCGGGAAAUGGUAGCUUCGGCCUCCGCCCUAGGAUGGGCCCGCGGCGCAUUAGCUUGUUGGUGAGGAACGGCCCACCAAGGCGACGAUGCGUAGCUGGUCUGAGAGGACGAUCAGCCACACUGGGACUGAGACACGGCCCAGACUCCUACGGGAGGCAGCAGUGGGGAAUAUUGGACAAUGGGCGCAAGCCUGAUCCAGCGAUG